GUGGUCACCUUUCCCAAGGCAGAGCUCCAGCCUUGCCCUACGGAAGGGUCCUGCUGGGAAAACUACCCCUCCACCCUCAACGGAAAAAGCAGCUGGUUGAAGCCCAGAGGAAAUUCCAGAAUCUUAAAAGCCGUUGCUGGAGAGGCUUCAGGCUCGAGGGGGCUGCCGCCCUCACGUUACAGGAAAAAGAAAGUAACUCAGCGGCGCCGAGAGCUUAAGCCUCACCCGGCAGACGCGGAGCCAGAUCCCGGGGCCAGGGAGCAAUGUCCUCAUCCGCAAGCCAGCUCCCGGGGAGAGGAAGCCACUGAGAAGCCAGCCGGCCCCUGGAGCUUCGGGGACCCUCCCUUUCCUCAAGAGAGAGAAUGAGCCAGAGAAGGGCAGAGAGAAGAAGAGAGAGAGAAAAUCCGAAGCAGGCUCAAGACCGUCAGUGCGGAGCCCAACGCGGGGCUCGAACUCCCGAACCCGUGAGGCCCUGACCUGGGCCGAAACCAAGAACUUGAUGCUCAAGCGGCUGAGCCGCCCGGGUGUCCCAUGGAGCUCUUCUGACCUCACCCCUACACCCUCUCCACCACCCUCGCCGCGCACCCCGAGUUUUCAAGAACAUGACCGUAAACAAGGUGAAACUACGCCCCCAAAGCCCCCCUCCCCCCGCCACGGCGAGAAAGCAGAAAGGGGCAGAGCUUCGUACGAAUCCACCCCGUCGCUAGGGACACGGACCGGCUGCCAGGGGCAAACGCUUGGCACUCACUGCUCCCUGGGCCCCAGAGCCACACGCACUCCGUGCGCGGACCCCCAAGUUCCAGCUUCUUGCCUUCAAACAGCUGAUGGUGGCAAAUACCAAACAAACAAACAAGAUAUAAAACGAAAUAAAACGUGCCCUCCCCUACAUUUAUCUCCUUCCACCCCCAAAAGCCCGUGAGGCAAUGCCAUUCUGCCCCCCCCCCCCCCCCCGUACAGAUAAGGAAACCAAGGCCACGGAGCCAGGAAGUCAAGGAAUGGGAAACCACGCAGCUGGAUUCCAGAAGCGGCAACAUUCAUGCCAUCCUGCCUCUCCAAACACACCCUGACCAGACACCUGACCUGCCUCUCCCCACAGCGGCCCAGUGGCACAGCCCCGGGCCUCUCGCAGCGCCCCCUCCAGUGCCCACGCGAGGAAGGAAGAAGGGCCCCUGAGCGAGAAGACAGCGUUACCAGUUCGGCAAAGGGUGACAGGGACACCUGUCCUCGUCCAGGGCC
Long non-coding RNA from Neofelis nebulosa (Clouded leopard), 1236 nucleotides. RefSeq lists it as uncharacterized. The record is from RefSeq and is a predicted model, not a curated record. The transcript is spliced from 3 exons. NCBI's taxonomy places the organism in Eukaryota, Metazoa, Chordata, Mammalia, Carnivora, Felidae.